GACCAGACUCCUACGGGAGGCAGCAGUGGGGAAUAUUGCACAAUGGGGGAAACCCUGAUGCAGCAACGCCGCGUGAGUGAAGAAGUAUUUCGGUAUGUAAAGCUCUAUCAGCAGGGAGGAAAAUGACGGUACCUGAGUAAGAAGCCCCGGCUAACUACGUGCCAGCAGCCGCGGUAAUACGUAGGGGGCAAGCGUUAUCCGGAUUUACUGGGUGUAAAGGGAGCGUAGACGGCGAUACAAGUCUGAAGUGAAAGCCCGGGGCUCAACCCCGGGACUGCUUUGGAAACUGUGUUGCUGGAGUGCUGGAGAGGCAAGCGGAAUUCCUAGUGUAGCGGUGAAAUGCGUAGAUAUUAGGAAGAACACCAGUGGCGAAGGCGGCCUACUGGACGGUGACUGACGCUGAGGCUCGAAAGCGUGGGGAGCAAACAGGAUUAGAUACCCGUGUAU
Molecule: ribosomal RNA, 447 nt
Filed under: uncultured bacterium
Lineage: Bacteria
Description: bacterial SSU rRNA
Rfam family: Bacterial small subunit ribosomal RNA
Source: RNAcentral